Molecule: unclassified non-coding RNA, 164 nt
Filed under: uncultured Myxotrichaceae
Lineage: Eukaryota; Fungi; Ascomycota; Leotiomycetes; Myxotrichaceae
Description: sequence contains ITS1
Source: RNAcentral
CCGAGCUCUCGCCCUCCGGGUAGACCUCCCACCCACUGUCAUCGCUACCCUCGUUGCUUUGGCGGGCCGCCAGGCCCUGCCGGCCGCCGGCCCCCCGGCGCGCGCCCGCCAGAGGCCCUCCAGACCCUGAAUGUCAGUGCCGUCUGAGUACCACACAAUCGUUA